AAUCAACGCUGGCGGCGUGCCUCAGACAUGCAAGUCGAACGAUUAAAGCUCUCUUCGGAGAGUGUAUAGAGUGGCGCACGGGUGAGUAACACGUAAGUAAUCUACCCUCGAGUGGGGAAUAACGUCCGGAAACGGACGCUAAUACCGCAUAAUGCAGCGGCACCGCAAGGUGACAGUUGUUAAAGAUUUAUCGCUUGAGGAGGAGCUUGCGGCAGAUUAGCAGUUGGUAAGGUAAUGGCUUACCAAGGCUACGAUCUGUAACCGGUCUAAGAGGACGGUCGGUCACACUGACACUGAAUAACGGGUCAGACUCCUACGGGAGGCAGCAGUCGGGAAUUUUGGGCAAUGGGCGAAAGCCUGACCCAGCAACGCCGCGUGAAGGAUGAAGUAUUUCGGUAUGUAAACUU
RNAcentral lists this ribosomal RNA (407 nucleotides) under uncultured bacterium. RNAcentral describes it as "bacterial SSU rRNA". It matches the Rfam family "Bacterial small subunit ribosomal RNA", at positions 32 to 432 of the family's 1533-position model. The record is from RNAcentral.